GAAACUGGGUGAGAAGCCCUGAGCCCUCCUUCGGGGGGAAAUCCGGAAAAAAAAAAAAAAAAGAUCAUUUGAGGAGAGGAGGUCAAUCAACAUCACUGUAUCUGAAAUCUAUAAAAUGGGGGAAACGGCCAUAAUGAACCCUAUUUUUAUUCUGGUCAAAUAAUUCAUGACUUUUGGUAGCUCUCAAUUCAUAGAUUUCAGGGCCGACCGAGGUGCGAGGUGCAGCCGCGGGCGCCCGAAGCCGCCGCACAGGGGAUUUUCACGUGGAGCAAGGAUGCCAUCUAGCGGCCGUGUUGAGGAAAGGCGCCGCCGCCACCGCUCCCUCCUGCCUCUCCGAGAGCCAAGCCACCGCGCCAACAACCCCGAGAAACUUUGAAUAUUAGCCUAAAAGGGGAGGAAAACGAGAGCGGGCGAACGGGAAGGCGUCGGAAAUCAGGAAAUGGUUCAUGAAAUUGUGCAGUUACGUUAAAGAUUUAAAAAAGAGAGAGAGAGGAACAAAAAGAGAGAGAGAGGAUGGGAAGGGGAAAAGAAGUCAGCUUUUCUCUCUCUCACCCCCCACCUCAAGCCCUUAAUUUCGGGCGGAGACGGCCGAGCAGUGCGCCUUGUACGGCCCCUAAAAGAGGGAGCCGAACACUUUUCAAACCCAACACGAUUGUUGCAAAUUCUGAGGGAAAACAAUUGGGCUUUCUGUCGGGGGGAGAGGAGGCCCGAGAGGGUGGGACGAGACUGUAAAAGGAUCAAGAGGCUGCUCGCGCCCAGACGUCUGGCCCCGCCGGACCUGCGUGUGUGUGUGUGUGUGUAUGUGUGUGUGUGUGUGUGUGUGUGUGUGCCCGCGCGUGUGCAGGGGGCUUCUCUUUAUGACGCCCGAUGGAGGGGGGGGGGCGCUUACGAAGAACAAAGACUAGGGUCUCAAUUGCGUUCUGUGAAGCGUUUGUGACAACAAAGUGUUCUUCCCUCGCCCCUCCCUCCUCGCCCCUCUUUGCCCCCUGGGGCCCCCCCGGAAACCCCGCGCUCCGCGCUCCGGGCGGGUGUGGGUGGGGGCGGCCGAGCCCACCCAUUCGCCCGCCAGGCCCGGAGCACAGGCCCAGCUGUGGCUCUCCCAGCUCCGGAAAGUUUCCCCUCACUGUUUGCUUUGCUGCUGUUUAGUUUCUUAACCUUCAGAAAUUUAUACGCUAUAAACUUUUAUAGCGGUCAUAUUCUUUUAUUGCCGCGCACACGGCAUUGAAUUCCUCUCCCGGCUUCUCUCUGGCUCGCACUCUCCCGGUCCCCCUCUCUGAAUCUCUCUCUUUUAUUACGGCAGAUUUCCCCAUCUCCGGCUUCCGAGCCUCUGCAUCUUAGCCUUUGUUUGUCUUUAAAGAAGCCACCCGGGGUUGGGGACCCAGACGCCGCCGCCGCCGGAGGCUUCCCGGGGCGCCCUCGCCCCCCCACCCCCCACCCCGCAGCACUCCGUUCUGUUCCUGCCUCACUUUUUGCGUUUCCUUUUGGCGGAAUCUGGCCUUCUCGGCUCCGUCUCAGCUCAGGCUGGCUCCCGGGAGCCCAGGAUGGGGAGAGAGCCUAGUCUACGCAAGCUCUAAAGGCAGAUUCACUUGAUAUACCGACUGGAACCCGAGGAGGAGUUGGCGGGUUGGGGCCCCGGCGUACCAGGAGCUUCGCCUUCUCCUGCCUCCGGCUGUCUCUCCGAUCGUGCGUUCGCUGGAGAGGGGUAGACCUGGCCUUUUCGCUUCCAGGCCGCUUUCACAAGGGCCAGGCUUUGUCCCCACCUCUAUCCCAACCUCAGGGUCUCCGCGGACUGCAGCGCCGCUGGGUGGGCCCGGUGGGAGGCUCCGGCAGGAGUCCGGCGCCCUAGAGCCAGCCUGGCAGAAGCGGAAUCCCAGCGCCUGGAUGAGAACCGCCUGGCUGCCGACAACAGCGCUCCUCAUCUGAGGCUCUGGUGGUGGACGCCGCAGUCUGAGAGGGACAGAAAGCCUGUAGGAGCUGCCUCCCCAGGCCCCACUCCCACCAAACUCCACCCGCGUUACACCAAGGCUGCUACCCGGGGACUCAGAUUGGAGCCUCAGACUCCAGUCUCCCAGCCCUCCUGUUGGAAGGUUCUUCUCAGUUUAAGCAGAGGUCUUGGGUCCAGACCAGCUAUCAGCUCCUGCAGGAAGCUCACCCUACAAGGUCUAAGGAGAAAUCUCUUGGGCACAGGACUUUCUCUUUUUUUCCAAGCCACCCUCUUGAAACUAGCACCUCUACUUCUGGCCAGCAAGCGGGACUGCUCCGCAGAAGCGUGCGCGCGCAGGUCGCCAUCCAGGCGGGUCUCUGCGCUUCUGCGCUGAAGCGGCAGCUGCCAAGCCCGAGGCUCCUCCGCAGGGGUCGGACUGGGCAGGACUGGAGGAGUAA
Cervus elaphus (red deer) is the source of this 2382-nucleotide long non-coding RNA. RefSeq lists it as uncharacterized. The record is from RefSeq and is a predicted model, not a curated record. NCBI's taxonomy places the organism in Eukaryota, Metazoa, Chordata, Mammalia, Artiodactyla, Cervidae. The transcript is spliced from 4 exons.